Molecule: signal recognition particle RNA, 99 nt
Filed under: Paracoccaceae bacterium
Lineage: Bacteria; Pseudomonadati; Pseudomonadota; Alphaproteobacteria; Rhodobacterales; Paracoccaceae
Description: Rhodobacteraceae bacterium (aquatic metagenome) signal recognition particle sRNA small type
Rfam family: Bacterial small signal recognition particle RNA
About the family: The signal recognition particle (SRP) is a universally conserved ribonucleoprotein involved in the co-translational targeting of proteins to membranes. Archaeal SRP consists of a 7S RNA and homologues of the eukaryotic SRP19 and SRP54 proteins.
Source: RNAcentral
UGAGAGGCUGGCGCGGGCAAGCGCUUCGCCAACCCGGUCAGGUCCGGAAGGAAGCAGCCGCAACGAAUCCCGCUUGGGUCGCUGUCCAGCCUCUCACCU